RNAcentral lists this ribosomal RNA (58 nucleotides) under uncultured bacterium. RNAcentral describes it as "partial 16S ribosomal RNA". The record is from RNAcentral.
GUACCUAAAGUCGAUAACCGCUAAGGAGUCGCCUAGGGUAAAACUGGUAACUGGGGCU